UGCAUUUCAUCAUUUGAUAGCGC
This 23-nucleotide non-coding RNA is filed under the name Arabidopsis thaliana (thale cress). The record is from RNAcentral. Lineage: Eukaryota; Viridiplantae; Streptophyta; Magnoliopsida; Brassicales; Brassicaceae.